AUGGCUCUAAGCCUAGUCGCGGCCGCCCCGCCCCUUUUCCUCUCCCCUUCCUGUCCCCCUCCCCCCACCCCCCCACUCCUCCCCUACCCUCCCCACUCCUUCCCCCUUCCUCUCCCCCGCCAGCGUCACCGUCACCGUUCUCCCAGCCAAGUCCGGACCGCCCCCUCCUCCUGCUCCCUUUCCCCUCCACCUCCCCUCCCCCCACCCCACUCCUCCCCUCCCCUCCCCCCUCCUUCCCACUCCCUCUCCCCCGCCAGCGUCACCGCUCUCCUAGGCGAGUCGGGGCCGCCCCCUCCCCCAGUCCCUUUUCCCCCUCCCCCUUCCCCCCACUCCUCCCCCCCUCCUCCCCCCCACUCCUCCCCUCCCUCCUCCUUUGUCCCCCCCACCCCCCGCCAGCGUCACCGUUCUCCCAGCAGAGUCGGGGCCGCCCCUCCCCCCGCCCCCCACUCCUCUCUUCCCCUCCCCCCUCCUUACCCCUCCCUCUCCCCUGCCAGCGUCACCGCUCUCCCAGCCGAGUCGCUGCCGCAGGCUCUCCCCAUUGCUGACGUGGCCACCGCAGGUGACUACCCGACCACCGGAAGCGCAGCCCUUGUAGGGAGCAGAGUCCUGAGAGCUCCGCGGGGCCGGAAGCCGGGCAACAGCCGCCCGAGGUCUCUCGCCCUACUCUCAUCUUCCGAACGACUCCCCGGUCCCGCAAAGGAGCUUUCACCGUGGGACCACAUCUCUAAUGCUGAAAAGCAGCUGAAAAUACCCAGGACCACCUGACUCUCUGACUCAGUGGGACUCAACCCCUGACCUCAGGGGAGCUUCCUGAGCCAUGAAGGAAGCCUUGAGCUGAGCACAGAAGGAAACAUGGGAAAGGAUGUUGAUUAUUAUUUUCCCAGCUAUUAUCCUGACCUGAUUACUCUUGUCAUUAUGGGCUCUCACUAAAGGUCAGUUGAGGAUGACACUAAAUGCUACUGAGAAUAACUUCAGAUUCCUCAGAUCCCAUGUUCCUGCAUUAGGGAUUCACACAGAUUAUGGAAGCGGCAAGGUGGGUCUCCUGGCCCACACUCUCUUAUUAUAGAUAUGCAGAGUGUGGCUCAGGGAGGUGACUCCCAGUCUGCCCACCAGGCUCCCUUCUGUGAACCACGUGGAUGAAAUGCUCAGCCUUCCUGGGCUGGGAGCCAUGCGUGGCUGAGAAACACCUUGGGCCCUGAAGCCAGAGCUGGCCACUAUGGUACCUCUUCUUUAGAUUCUUCCUCGUGUCCCCAUUUCUUGAGUCUGUCUUUCCCCACACGUUAGCCCCUUCCCCGGGGGGUUUCUGGUCAUCACAACUGUGAUGCCAGCUUCCUGCCUACCCCAGACACCUAGCCACAGGAGGCCCAGCCCAUUAAGGUUUUGCCAAAACAACAUCUGCGGCAGCUCUUCUCUUGUUUUCUGUCUGGAAAUGAAGGGGGUUUGUCCUGGGCUUCAGGGAGUGAGGAUGAGGAGUAUUUACAACGUGUCUGUCCUCUCAGUUUGGGAAAGAGGCAAUAAAUUCAGCUUCAGAUGUG
This is a long non-coding RNA of Bubalus bubalis (water buffalo), 1535 nucleotides long. RefSeq annotates it as leucine-rich repeat extensin-like protein 3. The transcript has 3 exons. The record is from RefSeq and is a predicted model, not a curated record. Lineage: Eukaryota; Metazoa; Chordata; Mammalia; Artiodactyla; Bovidae.